AGCGAACGCUGGCGGCAGGCUUAACACAUGCAAGUCGAGCGGGCACUUUCGGGUGUCAGCGGCGGACGGGUGAGUAACGCGUGGGAACGUGCCCUCUGGUUCGGAAUAACUCAGGGAAACUUGAUCUAAUACCGGAUACGCCCUUUUGGGGAAAGGCUUGCUGCCGGAGGAUCGGCCCGCGUCUGAUUAGCUAGUUGGUGAGGUAACGGCUCACCAAGGCGACGAUCAGUAGCUGGUCUGAGAGGAUGAUCAGCCACACUGGGACUGAGACACGGCCCAGACUCCUACGGGAGGCAGCAGUGGGGAAUAUUGGACAAUGGGCGCAAGCCUGAUCCAGCCAUGCCGCGUGAGUGAUGAAGGCCUUAGGGUUGUAAAGCUCUUUUAUCCGGGACGAUAAUGACGGUACCGGAGGAAUAAGCCCCGGCUAACUUCGUG
Molecule: ribosomal RNA, 435 nt
Filed under: uncultured bacterium
Lineage: Bacteria
Description: partial 16S ribosomal RNA
Rfam family: Bacterial small subunit ribosomal RNA
Source: RNAcentral